CAGGGAAUCUUCCGCAAUGGACGCAAGUCUGACGGAGCAACGACGCGUGAGUGAAGAAGGCUUUCGGUUCGUAAAACUCUGUUGUUAGAGAAGAACAGCGCAUAGAGUAACUGUUAUGCGUGUGACGGUAUCUAACCAGAAAGCCACGGCUAACUACGUGCCAGCAGCCGCGGUAAUACGUAGGUGGCAAGCGUUGUACGGAUAUAUUGUGCGUAAAGCGCGCGCAGGCGGUGAAUUAAGUGUGAUGUGAAAACCCCCGGCUCAACCGGGGCGGAUCAUUUGAAACUGGUUUACGUGAGUGCAGAAGAGGGGGGUAGAAUUCCAUGUGUAGCGGAAAAAUGCGUAGAUAUAUGGAGGAACACCAGUGGAGAAGGCGACUCUCUGGUCUGUAACUGACGCUGAGGCUAGAAAGCGUGGGUAGCAAACAGG
Molecule: ribosomal RNA, 429 nt
Filed under: Bacteroidota bacterium
Lineage: Bacteria; Pseudomonadati; Bacteroidota
Description: Bacteroidetes bacterium partial 16S ribosomal RNA
Rfam family: Bacterial small subunit ribosomal RNA
Source: RNAcentral